UAGGGGGAGCGAUUAAAGUUUUGAAAAGCUGUUUCUGCUCUUAGUUUAUUACUGAUUCUCCUGUGACCUUAGAAAAUGCUUAACCUGGUUUGGGGGCUCCCCCCUUGCAAGUGUAUUUAAAAGGCUAAUAGCAAAACUGAGUUCAUUAUCUGGCUUGUGAUCAGUUAGCAAAGUGACAGCUCAGCUGCUGAAAAUCUGGGUUACUGCUGCCAAAGCAGCAGCAGCAAAUGCCUGGAGUUGGUGACAGAGCUUUGCUCAAGGUGUGGCAGGGGAAGUCAGGGUGGUUCUUGGUGCUGUGUACAGGUAAGUAACAAGUCUCCUCCCCAGAAGUUCCUCUCCAGCUGUUGAGACAGAUGAGAAGUGCCUGGUUAGAGAAUAUAGAUACUAAUCUUUUGUAAGAUUACAGAGUAUGGAGAUUCUCUGGUGGAGGGUGCACAGUGUAUCAGAGCACUAUGAAACCUUUCCAGAUCUCAAGACUGCAUCAUGUAGGAGAUGCAUCAGUUUAUGCAACAGCCAGUUUAACAGGCCUGUAAUGCAUCAGCUGCACUUGCUAUGUGUCACUUAACUCUACACAGCAGUGUGUAGAAUUGUUUGAAGUGAUGGAUUUGAAGGCCUAAGUCUGAAUACAAUCUCUGUGGUGCUGCAGUGUGAAGGCAAGCCUAUGCAAAUGGUACAGGUUACUAAAAGCUCUGAAGAAACAAUAUUUUGCUAAAACUAUUCAGAUUAAAAAUGCUGGAACAAGAACAAUCCAACACUCAGUGAAACCUGAGUUCUCCCUACUCUGCCUUUCCAAAAAAGUGGAGGACCCUUUGCUUCCUCUCCAGUGUUAACACCAGAUAGUGGGAGGCAGUUAUUGGCAACACUUAACUUUUUGGGGGGAAAUUAUCCUACAACAGAAAAUAUCUGUCAUUUCCACCCAUGUAUAGAAAUACUGAAAUUCAUCCUUAGGCAUCAAGGAAAGCAGCUCAGAAUCAUUUUCCUAGCAGAUUUCUCUCCCAUUUUAGGAUAAAGGCAGUGUUUGCUCCCUUGCUGUGCUGGCAGGUCCAUCGUCAGCUGCCAGAGGAUUAAACAGGCCCAGGCUGCAGCCAGGGAGGAAUGGAUGUUUUAGCCACAUCCAAAAAUGUGGCACAACAGUGACCUGUACAUUUAGGAAUGAGGUCCUUUGGAUGUUGAGCCUGCCAUGGUGAAGCUGUAGGGGGAGUCUUAAACCCUGAGAGAUGGAAAUACUGCCAUAGAGACAGGGGCAGGAAAGAGCUGUUAAAACAAUUCCACCAAUAGGUCUGAGUCCUGGCCUCAGGGAAAAAAAAAAAAAAGAAAGCCAUAAAGUAGUUUAAAACUCAUUAUUACAGAAAAUUACCUUUUAAUUCUGUAAAUUCACUAUCAUGGAUGUCAAAACAUGAAUGUGAGGAUGAAGAUACUUCAGAAGACAUUGGUAUGUCUGCCAUGCAACUUCAAUUGAGUGAUGAUAGUCCUUGCACAUUAUAUUUCCUUCCAAUCAGACAUUAAUGUGAAAAAUAGUUAAUUGAUCCAGUUUCAGACUAAACCAGCCAGGGUUAACUUAGUCCCAUGGCAGCAAGGGGCUUCUGCAUCUCCUCAUACAAUAAAGUCAGGCACCACAGCUCUUCAGACUACCAUUACACAACUGUAACAUUUUCUUCUAUCACAGAUUAUUUACUAGGACUAGGAUUACUGAGAAUUUUAAGGAAAAUUUUUCAUAAUUAGGCAUUUUGCUUUCUUGUUUAGGCCUUGGUAUGCAGAAAAAUAGUAUUUUAAGACCUGUAAAAGUUUUUCAAAGUUAGUUUGCCUGUAAGUUCAUGUCUUAUUUCUAUCACACAGGGAGAGAAGGAAAACACACCCUAUCACAACUCUGGACAGUUUUCUGCUUUUGCAUUUUUCUCCCCUUGUAUAACAGCUUUUUAGAUAACCUCAUAUGUAGC
This is a long non-coding RNA of Passer montanus (Eurasian tree sparrow), 1937 nucleotides long. RefSeq lists it as uncharacterized. The transcript has 2 exons. The record is from RefSeq and is a predicted model, not a curated record. NCBI's taxonomy places the organism in Eukaryota, Metazoa, Chordata, Aves, Passeriformes, Passeridae.